UACAGAGGUGGCAAGCGUUGUUCGGAAUUACUGGGCGUAAAGGGUGCGUAGGCGGCGCGGUAAGUCGGGUGUGAAAUCUCGGAGCUUAACUCCGAAACUGCAUUCGAUACUGCCGUGCUUGAGGACUGGAGAGGAGACUGGAAUUUACGGUGUAGCGGUGAAAUGCGUAGAUAUCGUAAGGAAGACCAGUGGCGAAGGCGGGUCUCUGGACAGUUCCUGACGCUGAGGCACGAAGGCCAGGGGAGCAAACGGG
RNAcentral lists this ribosomal RNA (253 nucleotides) under uncultured bacterium. RNAcentral describes it as "partial 16S ribosomal RNA". It matches the Rfam family "Bacterial small subunit ribosomal RNA", at positions 524 to 776 of the family's 1533-position model. The record is from RNAcentral.